This 26-nucleotide non-coding RNA is filed under the name Mus musculus (house mouse). Lineage: Eukaryota; Metazoa; Chordata; Mammalia; Rodentia; Muridae. The record is from RNAcentral.
UUACAGUAAGCACAGUGAUCUUUAGC